ACAUGAGGCAAAGUUCAUCGAGAAUAUUGUUGAAGUGAUUGCAAGCAAGCUACGUCCCAGAGCCUUAAACAAUGCACCUUACCUCAUUGAAAUCAGUUAUCGGGCUGAAGAUAUUAUCUUGUGGUUACAAGAUAGAUCAACUAAUGUAGGGCUGUAUGUGAUCUGUGGGAUUGGUGGAAUUGGGAAGACAACCCUUGCCAAAUUUGCCUAUAACUCAAGUGCAAGAUCAUUUGAAGGAAGCAGCUUUCUUGCAAACAUCAGUGAAACUGCAAAACAAUGUAAUGGUUUAGUUCGUCUCCAGAAGCAAGUUUUGUAUGAUAUAGUUGGAAAAAAAGAGAGGAUAUCCAAUGCUGAUGAAGGAAUUAUGAUGAUUGAAGAUGCCCUACGCUAUAAACAAAUUCUUCUUGUUCUUGAUGAUGUUGAUGAAGUUGACCAGAUAGAUACAAUUUUAGGAAUGAGAGAUUGGCUUAAUCCUGCUAGUAAAAUCAUUAUAACAACGAGGCAUGAGUCAUUGCUAAAGCCUUCUGUACCUCACAAAGUACUUAAAGUAGAAGCCUUGAAUAAAAUGGAUUCCCUGAAGCUGUUUAGCUGGCAUACCUUCGGAGAAGACCAUCCUUUGGAAUGUUAUCUCGAGCUCUCAAAACGGGUGGUUCUUCAAUGUGCAGGACUUCCUUUAGCUCUUAGUGUAGGUUCAGCGCUGUCGGGUAGAAGACCAGAAAUAUGGGGAAGUGCAUUAGAAAAGCUGGAAACAAUCCCUGAUGGUCAUGUCAUUGAAAAACUUAAAGUGAGUUUUUAUUCUCUAGAAGAUGACCAUGACAAAAAUAUAUUCUUUCAUAGAGCUCUUUUCUUUCUUGGGAUGGAUAGAGACGACUCCGUCAGAAUACUGAAUGGAUGUGGUUUUCACACAAUAAUUGGGAUGCAAAACCUCAUUGAUAGAAGUCUUUUGACAAUCAAUGAGUUAAAUAAGUUGGAGAUGCACCAGUUGCUUCGAGACCUUGCGAGAGAUAUCGUCCGUAGAGAAUCACAGGAUCCUGGAAAACGCACUUAAAUAAGUUGGAGAUGCAUCAGUUGCUUCGAGACCUUGCGAGAGAUAUCGUCCGUAGAGAAUCACAGGAUCCUGGAAAACGCAGUAGACUUUGGAAUAACAAGGAUUCUUUCAGAGUGUUGAACGAUAAGACUGUGAGACAUUUAAAAUGUGUGUUCUUUCCUUCUUUGCUGUGCCGUACCCUUACAAUUUGUUUAUUUCUUAC
This 1250-nucleotide long non-coding RNA is filed under the name Nicotiana benthamiana. Its description in RNAcentral is "long non-coding RNA (NBEN_LNC020498)". Lineage: Eukaryota; Viridiplantae; Streptophyta; Magnoliopsida; Solanales; Solanaceae. The record is from RNAcentral.